UACGUAGGGGGCUAGCGUUGUCCGGAAUCAUUGGGCGUAAAGCGCGCGUAGGCGGCCCAGUAAGUCCGUUGUGAAAGUCAAAGGCUCAACCUUUGAAAGCCGAUGGAUACUGCUGGGCUAGAGUCCGGAAGAGGAGAGUGGAAUUCCUGGUGUAGCGGUGAAAUGCGCAGAUAUCAGGAAGAACACCCGUGGCGAAGGCGGCUCUCUGGGACGGUACUGACGCUGAGACGCGAAAGCGUGGGGAGCGAACAGG
RNAcentral lists this ribosomal RNA (253 nucleotides) under uncultured bacterium. RNAcentral describes it as "partial 16S ribosomal RNA". It matches the Rfam family "Bacterial small subunit ribosomal RNA", at positions 524 to 776 of the family's 1533-position model. The record is from RNAcentral.